RNAcentral lists this ribosomal RNA (416 nucleotides) under uncultured bacterium. Its description in RNAcentral is "bacterial SSU rRNA". It matches the Rfam family "Bacterial small subunit ribosomal RNA", at positions 360 to 774 of the family's 1533-position model. The record is from RNAcentral.
AAUAUUGGUCAAUGGACGCAAGUCUGAACCAGCCAUGCCGCGUGAAGGAUGAAGGUCCUCUGGAUUGUAAACUUCUUUUAUCUGGGACGAAAACGGGAUUUUUAUCUCAAUUGACGGUACCAGAGGAAUAAGCACCGGCUAACUCCGUGCCAGCAGCCGCGGUAAUACGGAGGGUGCGAGCGUUAUCCGGAUUUACUGGGUUUAAAGGGUGCGUAGGUGGGCUUAUAAGUCAGUGGUGAAAUCUCCGAGCUUAACUUGGAAACUGCCGUUGAUACUAUAGGUCUUGAAUUAUCUGGAGGUAAGCGGAAUAUGUCAUGUAGCGGUGAAAUGCUUAGAUAUGACAUAGAACACCAAUUGCGAAGGCAGCUUACUACAUAUAAAUUGACGCUGAGGCACGAAAGCGUGGGGAUCAAACA